RNAcentral lists this transfer RNA (73 nucleotides) under Fasciola hepatica (liver fluke). It matches the Rfam family "tRNA". Rfam says of the family: Transfer RNA (tRNA) molecules are approximately 80 nucleotides in length. Lineage: Eukaryota; Metazoa; Platyhelminthes; Trematoda; Plagiorchiida; Fasciolidae. The record is from Rfam by way of RNAcentral.
ACCGCGAUAGCUCAGCUGGUAGAGCAUUUGCCCGGUAAGCAGAGGGUCGGCAGUUCGACUCCGGCUCGCGGCG